RNAcentral lists this ribosomal RNA (253 nucleotides) under uncultured bacterium. RNAcentral's name for it is "partial 16S ribosomal RNA". It matches the Rfam family "Bacterial small subunit ribosomal RNA", at positions 524 to 776 of the family's 1533-position model. The record is from RNAcentral.
GACGAGGGGUCCUAGCGUUGUUCGGAAUUACUGGGCAUAAAGCGGAUGUAGGUGGAUGUUCAAGUCAGAUGUGAAAUCCCAGAGCUUAACUCUGGAACUGCAUUUGAUACUGUUCAUCUUGAGCAUUUGAGAGGGUAGCAGAAUUCCUGAUGUAGUGGUGAAAUACGUAGAUAUCGGGAGGAAUAUCGGAGGCGAAGGCGGCUACCUGGCGAAUUGCUGACACUGAGAUCCGAAAGCGUGGGGAGCAAACAGG